CCUACGGGAGGCAGCAGUGAGGAAUAUUGGUCAAUGGACGCGAGUCUGAACCAGCCAAGUAGCGUGAAGGAUGACGGCCCUGCGUGUUGUAAACCUCUUUUGUAAAGGAAUAAAGUGAGGCACGUGUGCCCUUUUGUGUGUACUUUAUGAAUAAGGAUCGGCUAACUCCGUGCCAGCAGCCGCGGUAAUACGGAGGAUCCGAGCGUUAUCCGGAUUUAUUGGGUUUAAAGGGAGCGUAGGUGGGUGUUUAAGUCAGUGGUGAAAGUCUGCGGCUCAACCGUAAAAUUGCCAUUGAUACUGGCAGGCUUGAGUUCAGUUGAGGUAGGCGGAAUUCGUGGUGUAGCGGUGAAAUGCUUAGAUAUCACGAAGAACUCCGAUUGCGAAGGCAGCUUACUAAACUGACACUGACAUUGAUGCUCGAAAGUGUGGGUAUCAAACAGGAUUAGAUACCCUUGUAGUC
Molecule: ribosomal RNA, 460 nt
Filed under: uncultured bacterium
Lineage: Bacteria
Description: partial 16S ribosomal RNA
Rfam family: Bacterial small subunit ribosomal RNA
Source: RNAcentral